This 64-nucleotide transfer RNA is filed under the name Lophopotamon yenyuanense. RNAcentral's name for it is "tRNA-Trp". The record is from RNAcentral. Lineage: Eukaryota; Metazoa; Arthropoda; Malacostraca; Decapoda; Potamidae.
AAGAUUUUAAGUUAAAUAAAACUAGAAGCCUUCAAAGCUUAAAAUAAAACCUUUUUAAAUCUUA